CUACUACCUCAUUUUAUAUGUCAAAUAACUAAUUGGCGAGAUGUUAGGUUCGACAAUAUACACAUUUUUCAUUUGGCGAUAACUAGGAAAAAAUUGCACCUGGAUCUAAUUUUUGCUUAAAACUAAGAUUAGCUGUAGCGUUAACUGCUAGCUGUCUCGUUUGAUAUAGCAUGUUUGCAUUAGCUGUGUAAUUUGCUCUCUUUCUGUGGCAGCUGUGCAGUUAACUGCCGUUUGGCUUGGUAUGGUUUGUAUCUCUUUAAAGAUACGGUGCGUAGUUGCUGUCAUUUUAAGUAAUGACAACAAAACUGUCGUCGCACAGCCCCGCCCACUCCUCUUCCACGCUGUUGCUAGUAGCUUAGCACAGGAUUAAAAACACACGAUGGACUCUUCAGAAGAGAUUCAGGAGAGAUGCUGUAUCCUCCGCGGACUGAAAAGCAGCUGUGAAGGUGAUGGUGAUCAGUCCUGACAGUGAGGGAUGUUUGAGAGAGAUAGGCCUCCUAUCCAAGCUUGACAGUGUGAUUGGAUCCAGUGAGAAUCCCAAUGAAGCAAUGAGUAUCACAGCGGCAGCUCCCCUCCCCCAGGUGCCCCCAACACAGCCAAGAGGCCAGCCCCAGCCCUGCCAGUUCAGACCAGAUGGAAAUUGAGGCGGGAUGGGAUCUGGGAAGCAAAAACACAAAAAAGGCAAGUGAACUUUAAACCGUUUUAGCUGCUGUGAAGGUGACUGCGGCAAAACCAGCUGUAAAAUGUGAUCUGAUUAUAAGUGAUGGUGGCAGAUAAUUGUAGAGGCUGUCUGACUGGGGCGCAGUAUGCUGCUCAAAUCAGAUGUGCUGUGUUUGAAUUCAUAAAAACUCAACCCGUGUUUGAAACUAGUUUGGAUACAUUAAGUGAUAAAGAUCAUAAACAGAAAAUUGCAGCAAUAAAUGACACAUUUUUUAUCAAGUUUGU
Long non-coding RNA from Etheostoma cragini (Arkansas darter), 945 nucleotides. RefSeq lists it as uncharacterized. The record is from RefSeq and is a predicted model, not a curated record. The transcript has 3 exons. NCBI's taxonomy places the organism in Eukaryota, Metazoa, Chordata, Actinopteri, Perciformes, Percidae.